GUGCUCGCUUUGGCAGCACAUACACCAAAAUUGGAAUGACACAGAGAUUAGCUUGGCCCCUGCCCAGAGUAUAGUGACAGAUGGUAGCUACAGCUACACUUU
Molecule: small nuclear RNA, 102 nt
Organism: Panthera pardus (leopard)
Lineage: Eukaryota; Metazoa; Chordata; Mammalia; Carnivora; Felidae
Source: Ensembl